This 467-nucleotide ribosomal RNA is filed under the name uncultured bacterium. RNAcentral describes it as "partial 16S ribosomal RNA". It matches the Rfam family "Bacterial small subunit ribosomal RNA", at positions 28 to 507 of the family's 1533-position model. The record is from RNAcentral.
GAUGAACGCUGACAGCAUGCUUAACACAUGCAAGUCGACUUGAAUUUGGGUUUUUAACUUCGGUUUGGGUGGCGGACGGGUGAGUAACGCGUAAAGAACUUGCCUCACAGCUAGGGACAACAUUUGGAAACGAAUGCUAAUACCUAAUAUUAUGAUAAUAGGGCAUCCUAUAAUUAUGAAAGCUAUAAGCGCUGUGAGAGAGCUUUGCGUCCCAUUAGCUAGUUGGAGAGGUAACGGCUCACCAAGGCGAUGAUGGGUAGCCGGCCUGAGAGGGUGAUCGGCCAAAAGGGGACUGAGACACGGCCCUUACUCCUACGGGAGGCAGCAGUGGGGAAUAUUGGACAAUGGACCGAGAGUCUGAUCCAGAAAUUCUGUGUGCACGAUGAAGUUUUUCGGAAUGUAAAGUGCUUUCAGUUGGGAAGAAACAAAUGACGGUACCAACAGAAGAAGUGACGGCUAAAUACGUG